GCCGGUGUGGCGGAAUGGUAGACGCGCACGAUUCAAAAUCGUGUUCCUUCGGGAGUGAGGGUUCGAGUCCCUCCGCCGGUA
This 81-nucleotide transfer RNA is filed under the name Verrucomicrobiia bacterium. Its description in RNAcentral is "tRNA-Leu". It matches the Rfam family "tRNA". From Rfam's summary of the family: Transfer RNA (tRNA) molecules are approximately 80 nucleotides in length. Their secondary structure includes four short double-helical elements and three loops (D, anti-codon, and T loops). The record is from RNAcentral. Lineage: Bacteria; Pseudomonadati; Verrucomicrobiota; Verrucomicrobiia.